GAUGAACGCUGGCGGCGUGCCUAAUACAUGCAAGUCGAGCGAACAGACGAGGAGCUUGCUCCUCUGAGGGUAGCGACGGACGGGUGAGUAACACGUGGAUAACCAACCAAUAAGACUGGGAGAACCUCGGGAAACCGGAGAUAAUACCGGAUAAUAUAUUGAACCGGAGGGUGCAAUAGUGAAGGACGGUUUUGCUGUUACGGUAAGAGGGUACCGAGCCGCCGUAGCUAGUUGGUAAGGUAAUGGCUUACCGAGGCGACGAUGCGUAGCCGAGCUGAAGGGGUGAUCGGCCACACGGGCACUGAGACACGGUCCCGACUCCUACGCGGGGCAGCAGUCGGGACUCCUCCGCGAUGGGCGAAAGCCUGACGUAGCAACACCGCCUGAGUGAUGAAGGUCUUCUGCUCGUAAAGCUCUGUUGUUCGGAAAGAACAAAUGCGUAGUUACCUGUGCACGUCUUGACGGUACCUAAUGAAUAAGCCCCGGCUAACUCCGUG
RNAcentral lists this ribosomal RNA (497 nucleotides) under uncultured bacterium. RNAcentral's name for it is "partial 16S ribosomal RNA". It matches the Rfam family "Bacterial small subunit ribosomal RNA", at positions 28 to 507 of the family's 1533-position model. The record is from RNAcentral.